CAGGGGUUUGCUGUUGCUGGUUUCAGGUGGCAGGGCUGGGGUGGGGGGUGGCACCGUGUGGUACAGAUGGAGGGAGGCGGUUGGGAUAGAGCCACUGGCCGGCUCCUUUAGAAACCAGCAGGUGGGGUGUGACUUUGCCCACCCUCCCUGGCACGACUCCCAGGUGUCUUGGAGGCGCUAGGCCUGGAGGUGCUCACUCGCAGGCUGCCGGGCCGGCCCCGGAAGCCACAGGCGGGCAUGUUGGACCAGAGACACAGGAAGCAGGGACGCCCUUCCCUUUUCUUCUCUGAGCCCUCCUGAAUGGAUGGAGCCCACCGUCCCUGUCGGGGGAACCGGGUCCAAGGCGGACGGGGUGUUUGAGACCACAGGUGAGAUGAGUCCUGUUGUAGUCCCUUCCAGGCCAAGGAAUUACAGACUUCCGCCUCCAUGUGAAUAAGACGCAGGUAAACCCAGCACGCUGGGUGGGGAUCAGGCAUCUGUGUAGAUGCUGGUAGAGGAGGUGCUGGUGGCCGUUUCGGCCACAAGAGGGCGCACAGGCUCCAGGAACGGUUUCUCAGGGCUGGCCAAUAAGGGGUCCAGGAGGGGUGGCUAGAUGUGAGAGCAUUGGCUGCAGAUGGGACACCGGGACUCAACUCUCACUUUUCAGAAUCACUCUGUCAUUGUCCCUAGCACGAGGGCCAUCCGUGGGUUCAUUGAUGUAAGAAGCAUUUGCCGAGAACCUGGGGUGGAGGUGGGGCCGGCUCUGAGCCAGCAGGCUCUGGGGAGGUAGAGUCAGACAAGCCCACGUGGAUGUUGUGGGGGAGCAGACAGUCUGGGCAGGGAGUCUGACCGUCAAAACUGCAGUCUCCGUGUGGCGUGUCUGUGCUGUGACAGAGGGACAUGCCGAGUGCAGUGGGGGCGAGUGUUGAUUCUGCUUGCGACUUGGGAAAAGGCUUCCCGCUGUGGGUAGUAUUUGCUGUGGGUCUUGAAGAGUGAGUAGGAGUUCAUCAGGCCAAAAAGUUAGGGAAAAGGCAGUCCCGGCAGGGGAAUGUCGUGAGCCGGGGCCUGGAGGCAGGAACCCAAGCUGGCUAGGCACGUGAAUGUCCGCUGGGAGGAGGCUGGCUGGCAGAGGGUGUUGGCUAACUGGGUUGGGGGCGAGAUGGGGAGGGAGGAGUCUGGGCAGAUCCAGGUUGUGUGGGGCCGGAAGCUUCUAAGGUUUUGGAGGCUUCUUGGAACACGAACACCAAACUGGGCAGAGGGGCUUGGAAGGGUGCACCUAAGCGAGAGAUCUGAGGCUUAAGCUUAUUAGCUGCAUGGAAAAUCCCCCUGUGCGUGGGAGACACAUCUGUGACAUCUUCCCUGCUUCCUUUUAGAUUUCCUGCCUGCCCUCAGCAGCUGGCUUCCCUCGGGCAGCAAAGAGUUUCUGCUUUCUCCCUCCCUUCACGGGUGCCCCGGAGCCUCCGGCAGUGGUUCGGGACCAGAUUCACGAAACCAGAGUCUGGGGCUCUCCUGGAGGCAGGGAGGCCGCGCUGUUCUGCUGGGGGAGGGGGCUGGGGAUGGCUUUUCACACCCAGUCUAUGCAAAUAGUGGCCCACAAUUUUUGCGCGGGGCGUCUGUAACUCUGUCCAGGUUAACACCUUAAAUAAUUCACAGGUGUGGAGCAUUUUCUGUGGCCCAAGCACUAUUCACACCUCGCCGCACCCGGGUGAAGGGCAGGUAAACCGUUCCCGCCGCAGAAGGCUCAUGAUUGGCCCAAGGAUACCUGGCGUGCUGUACCCUGGCGGGUGGACCUCAUGCUCGGCGCCCUCGCUGCUUCACCCUGUUGCCUCUGGCUCGCUGUCAGCUCGACAGAUACUUAACCCCGAGAUCGCUUUUCUUGGGCACCUGCACAGGGCAAUGAUUCAACAUGGAAGUGAAACCACAAAUGAUGUGGCUGGCUUUGAUACUCUCCUGUCUUGCUGUGUUUUGAUGGUAAAGGCAUACGCACAGACAUCAACAAGAAGAGUCAAAGAGCGAAAGCCUCCUUGCCCUUGAACUUUCCCAGAAGCUGCGGGAGCCUGGAGACAGCAGAGGUGGCUGAUGCAUCUGGUCGGGGAGAUACAGUUUACGCAGAGGAAGUGUUGACGGCACUCCGGGCAGGUGGAGUCAGAUCCUGCCCGGUUUUUUGAUCCCACCUCCCACCCCUCUUCAGCUUGGAGGCAGGCCUGAGUUGUGGGCGGAAGGAAAUGUGAGGGGUGGUUUCCCCUCCCUAACCUUACCCAGGGCCUGUGGCAUGUUGUUCCUUGAGGACAUUUUCCUUCCCAGAGGGCAUCUCUCUGUCUUCUGGGCUGGCCUGGUGUUCGGCCAUUACUCAUAAGCUUAAUCCAGAGCUGUGGUUUUCCACCCACUUUGUCACCGGUGCCUUACCUCCAAGCCACUUGUACUGUUGUUUAUUUUUUUUCUUAAACCUGGCUCACUUGCAAGAAUUGAAUCUCUUGUUUCUUGAAACUUGUCCUAAGUCACGAAAUGCACAAAAUCCAGACCUGCUGUGCUUAAUUUCUCUUCUUAAACACAUUAAGAUACAUGCACGACUAUUAAAAACAUGGCACCAGGCACCGGCAUAAUCUCCUCCUGAUCGCCCGUGGGUGCACCCACGCUCUGGGGAAGACCGAUGUGGAGGGGCGGUGGGGGAAUCCUUGGCCAGGUUCCGUCUGAACCCGAAAGCCACCUCCUAAAACACCGUUGACAAGUCUUGAAACACUCAGGGAUGCUGUCGCCAUUCCACACGUCCCAAGACACAGACCCUGCCCAGCAAACCUUAGGCACUAAAACUGGUGCCCCGGGGUGGGGGUGGAGGGCUACAGUGAUCCCCAGCUCACGGCAGUCAUUUACUUAAGCUGAUGUAAUGGCACCUUGGCCUUGAGUCGCCUAAGGUGAGUGACCACAGUUUAUACCUCAAACUGGCUGAGACUGGCUGCAGAUGUAUGAUGUAUGCCUCCCCCUAGAUGAUGUUUUGGCUCUACUGAGACUCCGUCAAGGCUCUGUUCGGACCACAAGAGCUUUUGGGUGUCAUUUGUCACGAAGGCCCUAGAAUGUCAACCUUACCACCCUAGCUCAGGGCCAGGGCUCCGUCUAUGUUUUCUCUGUCAUCAGAUACCCAUUGGAUCCCUUCUCUCAAGAUCGCCACGUGAGGAAGUGGGGGCUAGCUCUCAGUAGUCCGCGUGCUCCUAACGUUCGCUUAUUAGAAGUGGGGCUGGCUUCUAACUUUCUCAUUGACUUUAUCUUGCUCAGAGAAGUAUUAAAACCAAGUAUUCUUGGGACUAGAAUCUAUCAAGACACCUAAAUAGCUGUUUCUCUUAAAGGCUCACUGAAAACAAUACACUGACAAACCUAAACAUCUUUGUGUCCAACCUUAAGUAUAUUCACUAUGACUUUCUCACCUUCUUCCUCUUCGGUGUGAAGUAACCAGAAAGAUUUUCUUUGGGAACCCCCUAUGCCCUCAUAUAAUAGACUUUGGUGGACCCAUCGCGCUGUCCUUCACACCCAAAUGGUGGCAGUCUGCCUAUAAGAGAGAUCCCUUGGGGGCUUAUUGAAAAUUACUGAUUCCUGGGCUCCCACUCCGCAGAGUUCGAGUAGACAGGUCUGGAAUGGGUUCCAGGUAGCUCCAUUCUCGGAAGGAUCCUUAGGGGACUCUGAAGCAUUUGGGGGCACCUGCUCUCCACUUGCCCUGACUUGCCUAAAUUUUGGAGAGAGCUUGACUCAAGCCUUAAGCUGGGGUCUGUGUUACACAGGGGUGUCUUGAGGCCCAGGGCUGAGUAGGCAGGGAACCAGUGGAUAUCAAGAUUGCAUUUCUGCCUGGGCAGUUGGUUACCAGGACUAAGAAGCUGUUGAGGUUUCCUCCUCCAUAAACCCUACCAUUACCAUAAAGGGUGAUGGUUAUCUUCCUGUGCGCUUUGGAAAGAGACUGUAUCCAUCUAAUCUAAGAGUGCCAUCAAAUCAUGUGGCGUCACUUAAAGAGCAAGGGCCCCACCGCUCAGCCUUGUUGUAGGUCCUGCGAGAUGGUGAUCCGUCUGGAGACCAUUUCUGCCUACCCUCAUUCUUAUAUUGAAAUCAAAGGCAGGCUUUUGAACAAUGUCGUCAGAUGGUGAUUGCUGUGUGGGCUCAUGUGGCUUGGUGCCUAGCUGAUUUCUGUCCUGGGGGUCAAAUGCAAAGAUAGAUGAGUGCAAAGCUGCUCACUCUAAUGCUGUUCUAGAUUUGACCUUCCGAAGGAAAGUGACCUACUGAAUAUCUAUUACGUAUCAGUACGUGUAUGUAUCCUACUACCCCGCAUUCUCCCACAUACCUCCUUUCAAUCUCCACAAUAGCCAUGGGAAGUUAAUAUUUUUAUGUCCACUUUGAUACAGGCAAGGAUUGAAACUUGAUCUUGUUCACAGUAACAGUGUUUCACUCUGCAGAUGGCCUGGUGCUCUCACGCCAUAAUGUCACAUCACUAAAGCGAGUACUCUGGUGGCCAAGAAUUAGGAAGAGCUGUCUGAAAUCUGCUGUCUGCUCAUUCGGGCCACUGGAUCAAAAGAAUGGGAGAAAGGUUAAAGUUUGAGGGGCAGUAAACGUAUCAUUGUGUUGUUUUGUUUUUUUUUUUAAUUAAAUUUUAAGAACAGUUUUAGGUUCCCAGCAAAAUUGAGAGGAAGAUACAGAGAUUUCUCAUAAACACCGGUGGGAACACUUGCAGAGCUUUCUGUAAUAUUAACAUCCCAGAAUGCUACAUUUGUUACCACUGAUGAAGCUGCACUGAUGCAUCAUCAUCCCACAAAGUCCAUAGUUUAUACUCCAUAAGCAUUUCUUUUGUAAAAAAUAAAAAUGGCAUGAAAUUGCUGAUAUCUGUUCUUGACUUACAAAAAUGGCAAUUUUAUGUGGUUCACUUAAUACAAAGGCAACGUUGAAAAUCUCUCUUCACUCCUACCCCUACCCCACUCCCACACAAUUAGAGGGUCCUUUCUGUGUGUGCAUGCGCACCAGUGUGUGUAUAAAUAGGAUCAUACUGUAUCCUUUUGCGACUUGGAUUGGUCUUUUAAAAAUGGCGUUGACUUUUUAAUUUGGCUUUAAUUUGGAGUAAUUGAAGUAAAAAAGAAAUACAGCUGACCCUUGACCAACACAGGUUUGACCUGCCUGUGUCCUCUUAUAUGCAGAUUUGUUUUUCUCCUGCCAAAAGCUAUACUGUUUCCAUUUGGUUUAUGGCUUGGGCAGGGCUAGAAAGCUGCCUAGGGGCUGCGGGUAGAGGCUCUGGCAGAAGCCCCCACGCCAGGGGGUGCAGAAGGGCCCCUCAAAAGCCGUGGGCUCCGGAGGCUGCUAGGGGGCAGGAGGGUGAGCCUCUGGAAGAGACGCUGCGCAGCCCGGCCCCCGGAGCUCAGGCGGGUGCACCCCAUCUUCCUGGCGAGGUUCACCUGCUCCUCUAGGAUCCGGUUUUCUGGCAAGACCCAGAGUGUGUGUGGGCGGGGCUUGCAGAUCCAGAAGGGCCUGCUUUGGGGUUUUCUCCUGGGCUGGGGCGGCUUCCACUGAGUUCAGGGUUUGGCCCUGUCAGUCUUGGGAGGCUUCUGCUCGUCCUGGAAGACGGCACAGCCGCGGUGCGGGGUUGGCAUCGAGGGGCUCCCAGUGCCUUGGCGCUGGUCCUCUGCCCACUGGCGGAGGAAAUGCCACAUCGUCGCGGUGCGAAUAGAAGCCCAGAGAGAGGUAGGGAAGGAGGCCCGCAAGAUGCAGGUAGACCGGGGCUGACCAUGGCUGGCACUUGAGCGGAAUAAUUCUGCAAAUCUGGAAGCUCUUGUAGCAGGUGCAGAUAAGGGGCAAAGCUCCAAAUCUGGUGUUGGCUGGUCCCGGAGGCAGGGGGCAGUGAAGGUGGUGGGGAAGGUAGCUCCUAUCGAGGAGGUUGGAGGGUGGUUGGAGGCUGGAAGAAGGGGCGUCCCUGGGUGGGUUCCGUCCAAAUACUUGUUGCAGCAAGAGACAGACCUGAGGGACCUAGGGUCACACUGUCUAUACAGGUGUGUUUGUUUGUUGCUGCACCGUGCUGCAAACGUAUUUUCCUUAUGGUUUUCUUAACAUUUUUCCUAAGCCGAGUUUGUUGUAGGAAUACAAUCUAUACGUGUUAUAUACAACGUGUGCAUAUAUAUGUAUAUACAUAUGUAUGUAUAUAACAUAUGUACGAAACAUGUAUUAAUUAUGUUAUCAGUAAAGCUUCUGGUCAACU
This is a long non-coding RNA of Felis catus (domestic cat), 6196 nucleotides long. RefSeq lists it as uncharacterized. The record is from RefSeq and is a predicted model, not a curated record. The transcript is spliced from 4 exons. Lineage: Eukaryota; Metazoa; Chordata; Mammalia; Carnivora; Felidae.